ACUCCUACGGGAGGCAGCAGUGGGGAAUAUUGCACAAUGGGCGCAAGCCUGAUGCAGCGACGCCGCGUGGGGGAUGAAGGCCUUCGGGUUGUAAACUCCUUUCGCUAGGGACGAAGCUUUUUUGUGACGGUACCUAGAUAAGAAGCACCGGCUAACUACGUGCCAGCAGCCGCGGUAAUACGUAGGGUGCGAGCGUUGUCCGGAAUUACUGGGCGUAAAGGGCUCGUAGGUGGUUUGUCGCGUCGUCUGUGAAAUUCUGGGGCUUAACUCCGGGCGUGCAGGCGAUACGGGCAUAACUUGAGUGCUGUAGGGGUAACUGGAAUUCCUGGUGUAGCGGUGAAAUGCGCAGAUAUCAGGAGGAACACCGAUGGCGAAGGCAGGUUACUGGGCAGUUACUGACGCUGAGGAGCGAAAGCAUGGGUAGCGAACAGGAUUAGAUACCCCUGUAGUCCCAUGA
RNAcentral lists this ribosomal RNA (457 nucleotides) under uncultured organism. Its description in RNAcentral is "partial 16S ribosomal RNA". It matches the Rfam family "Bacterial small subunit ribosomal RNA", at positions 335 to 800 of the family's 1533-position model. The record is from RNAcentral.